GUUCAUCCCUUGGUAUUCUUAAUAACAAGAUGCAGUCAAUAUGAUUGCAAUUAGUUAUAGAUAUUUUACAAUAUGCAAUAUGGAUUGUUUGCAUAUCACAAGACUCAGAUAAUGCAAAGAGGUACAGUUCACCAUUCAUGCAUGAAUCAUUAAAUCUUACCAUAAGAAACUAAUCAUGAUAUGCAUUGGCCUUUGGCUCAAAUGGUCAAAGAGCAAUUACUAUCAUUUUUUUUAAUCAGUUCAAUUACAAGCUAUUUCAAUUAAAAUGAUAAAAAAAAAAUGCAUAAUUAUUAGCACAACCAAUCCAAGUAAUCAUAAUACCACGAGUCCAGGCUACCAUAUUCUAUUGAAAUUAUAUUUUAUUAGUUCAACA
Molecule: unclassified non-coding RNA, 373 nt
Filed under: Hevea brasiliensis (rubber tree)
Lineage: Eukaryota; Viridiplantae; Streptophyta; Magnoliopsida; Malpighiales; Euphorbiaceae
Source: RNAcentral